Molecule: transfer RNA, 88 nt
Filed under: Hadesarchaea archaeon
Lineage: Archaea; Methanobacteriati; Hadarchaeota (SeqCode); Hadarchaeia (SeqCode)
Also listed under: 1 other name
Description: tRNA-Leu
Rfam family: tRNA
About the family: Transfer RNA (tRNA) molecules are approximately 80 nucleotides in length. Their secondary structure includes four short double-helical elements and three loops (D, anti-codon, and T loops). Further hydrogen bonds mediate the characteristic L-shaped molecular structure. tRNAs have two regions of fundamental functional importance: the anti-codon, which is responsible for specific mRNA codon recognition, and the 3' end, to which the tRNAs corresponding amino acid is attached (by aminoacyl-tRNA synthetases). tRNAs cope with the degeneracy of the genetic code in two manners: having more than one tRNA (with a specific anti-codon) for a particular amino acid; and 'wobble' base-pairing, i.e. permitting non-standard base-pairing at the 3rd anti-codon position.
Source: RNAcentral
GCGGGGGUAGCCAAGCCUGGUUAAAGGCGUCAGACUCAAGAUCUGAUCCCGAAGGGGUUCGUGGGUUCGAAUCCCACCCCCCGCACCA